CUAUAACCAACAAAAAUUUAAUAAUUAAGAAACUGACGCCUAACAAAAAAAGGUACUAAUAUUUUCUAUAUCUUUUGUAUUAAUUCCAAUUAUGCCCUCUGUGAAUAACACGCUCUACGCCCAUCUCUUUUUUCUCUUCUCAUCAUUUUUUUUUCACAAUCUCUUUCCUUGCGUUGACUUGAGUUCAACAUCAACUCCUUCCUUCUUCAUUUCUCCGUCUCUCUGUCAUUUGUUACUCUCACUCUCUCCGUCGCGUCUCCUUUAUUCUCUCCUUCUCACAAGCACCAUAAGAACUCCCAUAAUCCCAUUCGAUCCAUCUAAUUCAGCGUCUGAACCAGAUCUUUCUGAUUCGAAUCGACAAGCAUCGAUUUUGAAUCAUGACCUUUGUUGUUGGGUUCUUUAUUUAACAAUUGAAUGGUAUUUCUUCUUCAAUUUGGGUUCGGGUAAAGGAUGUGUGGCGACAAUUUUGGGUUUUAAUCUUUAUAAGUACAAUUUUGGAUCCCAUGAUUUUUUUGCAUUUGGUGAUUACAAUAGAAAAUGGUUUAAUUUAGAAGCUUUGGUUCCAUGGAACUCCUUAAUAGGAUGCGAUUACACCUAGAGCCGUCCAUGAGAAUUUGAAGGCCACAAGCAACAAAAAAUAAUUUUAGGCCUAUUAUUUGUAAGAAAAGAUUAUAAAUGAGAAAAGCAAAGACUUGUCACCUGCACAUGUUAUGACACAUUCCAAACCACUAGACUACUUGAACAUUAUUGUUAAAAAUGGGGCCGAUUAUAUAUAUAGGAGAUUUGGGGCCGCAAGCACAUGCUUGCCUUGCUUGGCCUCAUGGCCGGCUCUGAUUACACCUAUUACUAUACUGUUUAAUUAAAUUCUAUAGUAUAUGUAGUUUAACUCUUUGUUGGUAGUUUAUGUAUAGUACAACAACAGCAACUUAAACACAUGACUGUUUUGUCUUGUUUAGUGAUUAGGUGUUUGAACUAUGAGCAAUGUUUCGACUAUUGAAGGUGUUUAAAUUGGUU
Molecule: long non-coding RNA, 1014 nt
Filed under: Arabidopsis lyrata
Lineage: Eukaryota; Viridiplantae; Streptophyta; Magnoliopsida; Brassicales; Brassicaceae
Description: long non-coding RNA (ALYR_LNC002276)
Source: RNAcentral